Molecule: ribosomal RNA, 415 nt
Filed under: uncultured bacterium
Lineage: Bacteria
Description: bacterial SSU rRNA
Rfam family: Bacterial small subunit ribosomal RNA
Source: RNAcentral
AACGAACGCUGGCGGCAGGCCUAACACAUGCAAGUCGAACGCUCGUAGCAAUACGAGAGUGGCAGACGGGUGAGUAACACGUGGGAACCUUCCCUAUGGUUCGGAAUAGCCCAGGGAAACUUGGGGGUAAUACCGGAUAAGCCCUUCGGGGAAAGGAUUUAUCGCCAUUGGAUGGGCCCGCCGUCGGAUUAGCUAGUUGGUGGGGUAACGGCCUACCAAGGCGACGAUCCGUAGCUGGUCUGAGAGGANGAUCAGCCACACUGGGACUGAGACACGGCCCAGACUCCUACGGGAGGCAGCAGUGGGGAAUAUUGGACAAUGGGCGCAAGCCUGAUCCAGCCAUGCCGCGUGAGUGACGAAGGCCUUUAGGGUUGUAAAAGCUCUUUUGGCGGGAAGACAAUGACGGUACCCGCAG